Aphidius gifuensis is the source of this 980-nucleotide long non-coding RNA. RefSeq lists it as uncharacterized. The record is from RefSeq and is a predicted model, not a curated record. Lineage: Eukaryota; Metazoa; Arthropoda; Insecta; Hymenoptera; Braconidae. The transcript is spliced from 3 exons.
UAGAGAGAAAACUUGUGUCGUGACUUUUUACGCUUAUAUUUGCAAUAAUAAUUGUUAAACAAUUGUAAAUUGUUGAUAAAUCGGUUAAUUAAUUUAUUCUGAACAGAUUGUGAUAUAAAUUAUUAUGAACUUUUGUGAAUUUUGUCCAAAAUUAAUGGACAUGUCAGAGCUUUUGGAGCUGACAAAGGCAGCUAUUAAUUUGUUGAAUAAUGGACAGAUAACAUAUUGUGCUAUAAAUUGUUGCUGACUUUUGUGAAAUUUGACAAAAAUAAAUGGACAUGUCAAUGGUGUUGGAGCUGACAAAGUAAAAUCUUUAUUUGGCAAAUAAUGGACGAAUGAUAACAAAAAGUGUUCCUGAAACGUCUAAUGUGUUCGUGAAGUUCAUAAAACAAAAUCAUUAAAACUAGGACCAACUAAAAUGAUUGAUUUGGUCUGUUAUUUGAUAUCCAAAUUAUAACAUGAUGAUAUGAAUACCAAGAAUUGAUGAUCAUGUUUAGAAUGUCAUUUAUAAGCUACCUUGUCUUUGCUAUUAAGAAGUUUGAGAAUUAAUUGAAAGCAUCCUAAAUCAUUUAUCAGUAUAAGAAUCAAAUACUGUUACAAGUCAACUAUCAACAAAAAAAAGCUAUCAUCUCAUGCAUGAAUCUCUUUGAGAUAUAGUGAGUUUACUUGAUUUUAUUUUAUAAAAUAAAAGUAUAGUCCUAAAUUCCCCCAAUGAUCAAUCAAUAUUUAUUUGUAAUUUUAUUUUGCUUUAGUAUCACAGAUAAAAUUACUAUCAAGAUGAUUAUGCUUCAACAAUAAUGAUUUCUGAUAAUUAAAAAUUAUUCUUCAAUUGAAUUUACAAAAUAUGAAGUGUCAAUGAAUGCUCUAACAUCAUUCAUGAAUUGUCUUACAAGAUUUUAUCAGCAAAUUUGAUAAUAUCUUGAAUUAAAACAAUAGCAUUAUACGAUGCUAAUGUACCACUCUUUAUUGACAAGUAUCUA